UUGGGCAGGUUCCGAACUAUGGUAUGGACCAUAGUUGUGCAAGUAGUUGUAGAGCUUUCUCCUUUCUGACCACAAAGCAUUUCCGGUCCUGGAGCGAAAUUAGAAAAUCAGCAGCGAUGGCAGACUGGUCAGAACUCCCAAAGGAACUCCUCCGCCUAAUCUCGGAACUCAUAGACAGCCCCUUUUACCUUCUCCGAUUCCGAUCUGUCUGCUCCUCAUGGCGCUCUUCCUCUUCCCCACUCCCCACCCACCUACCCCUCAAGUUCCCCACCUUCCCCUCCGCUACCGCCGCCACCCCUUCCAUCUUUUCUCUCUCCAAACGCACCCUCUUCCUCAUCAACCCACCUCACCAAACCCCACACCGUUCCUGGCUCAUCAAAAUCGGCCAAGACACCCAUGGUCACACCCUCCUCUUCCACCCUCUCUCCCGUUUCCCAAUCAAAUCCAAUUCCAAUUCUAACUUAAUAUUAAACCUAAUCGACCUCCCUGUCUUUGACAUCGAACACGAGUUCAUCCUCGCUGACACGUGUCCCACCUCCCUCAACGCUCUCUACAUGGAGAAAGUCGUUUUCUCCUGGCUGGGUUCCCGAAAAGACGGUUUUGCCCUCCUCACGAUCCACAUAUCCGGAAGGCUCGCCCUCUUCCGGUCCGGGCACCCUGACUGGACUAUAAUCCCCGACAUGCUGACGCCGUACGACGACGUCUGCGUCCACAAGGGCAGCCUAUUCGCCGUUGACAGCACCGGCCGGACCGUGAUCGUUGGCCUUGACUUGAGUCUCACCCCGGUCGCUGACCCGGUCUUUGGCGGUGACAAGAAGUUCCUGGUUGCGUGCGAGAGUGAAUUGUUCUUGGUGGACAAGUACUUGUCCUCUGAUUAUCUUUGUGAAUUGGGGGGUUUUGAUGAUGAUGAUGAGGAUGAGAUCUACGAGCUUGGUUGUGAGAGGGCUGUGAGGUUUGAGGUUUAUAGGUUGGAGGAAAUGGAGAGGAGGUGGGUCGAGGUGGGGAGUUUGGGAGAUAGAGUUCUGUUCUUAGGGGAUGAUUGCGCAUUCUCGGCUUCCGCGUCGGAUUUGGGUAUUGAUGGAGGGGAUUGUGUGGUGUUUAGGGAUGAUACUUUCAACGUGAAUGCGCUGGAGAGCGGGUUGGGUGUGUUUCACUUGGAUAAAGGGAGGAUUUCGCCUUUGUCUGAUUACCCUAGCAUUUCCAAGUUGUUCUGGCCUCCUCCGGAUUGGAUUGGGUUGCAUGGAUUGCACUGAUGAAGAAUUAUGGAUCUUCAGCACCUGCUUUUCUGUGAUUUUAUUGAUGGUGCUACAUUUCCUGUUAUUAGUGCAGUUGUGGGGAUUGGGCUGCACCGAUUCCACAAGGUUGAAGGAUCACUUAAAAUUACUGACGUCCCUAGUGACCUUACACCAACAAAGCUGCUUGCGACAAGGCUGCAGUGGAAGUUGAAUAAAGGCUAGCAUACUUGUUAGUGAUCAGGAAGGCCAAUUUAUCUCACAGUCACAUGUCUGGCUACAUGCAUUUUGUUGAGAUUGAUAAGGCUGCUAUUUCAUGUUUAUUGCUGGUAAGCUCAUGAAUUCGGUGGGGAUUGUACAUAAGCUAGAUUUAUAAGCCCAAACUUCUAUCACUGCAAAUCAUGGAGGCAAGGCAUAGUAGCCAUUUUCUAUCUCUGCAAAUAAUUUUCUUGAUAUGUCGGAGCUUGUCAUUUUGAUCACUAUUAGGUGAUCAAAAUAUUUGAACGUAGAACUAUUGCUCUUAGUUCCCGUGCCUCUUCUGGCCUGAAUUAAUUCCUUUCUUUUAGAUGUCGAAGGAGUUGCAGAAUGCUGAAUCUUGAAUAUUUCUGUAAUCUAGAACUAUAUGACUAAAUCUGUUAUUCCUUUGGGUGUUUUAUGUAACACAAUUGCUAAUAUCAAUGAUAGAGUUAUCUUAUUCUUU
Arachis duranensis is the source of this 1932-nucleotide RNA transcript. It is a transcript of the gene named F-box protein SKIP23, with no coding region annotated. Lineage: Eukaryota; Viridiplantae; Streptophyta; Magnoliopsida; Fabales; Fabaceae. The transcript has 3 exons. The record is from RefSeq and is a predicted model, not a curated record.